CCGAGAAUAUUCGACAAUGGGCGAAAGCCUGAUCGAGCGAUACCGCGUGGUGGAUGAAGCGCUUCGGCGCGUAAACACCUUUUAUGAGGGAAGAAGUUAUUGACAUUACCUCAUGAAUAAGGGGCUCCUAACUCUGUGCCAGCAGGAGCGGUAAUACAGAGGCCCCGAGCAUUACCCGGAAUUACUGGGCGUAAAGGGUGCGUAGGUGGUCGUGUUAGUCGUUCGUUAAAACCCCCGGCUCAACCGGGGA
Molecule: ribosomal RNA, 250 nt
Filed under: uncultured bacterium
Lineage: Bacteria
Description: partial 16S ribosomal RNA
Rfam family: Bacterial small subunit ribosomal RNA
Source: RNAcentral